UACGUAGGGUGCGAGCGUUAAUCGGAAUUACUGGGCGUAAAGCGUGCGCAGGCGGUUCGCUAAGACCGAUGUGAAAUCCCCGGGCUUAACCUGGGAACUGCAUUGGUGACUGGCGGGCUAGAGUAUGGCAGAGGGGGGUAGAAUUCCACGUGUAGCAGUGAAAUGCGUAGAGAUGUGGAGGAACACCGAUGGCGAAGGCAGCCCCCUGGGCUGAGAUUGACGCUCAGGCACGAAAGCGUGGGGAGCAAACAGG
RNAcentral lists this ribosomal RNA (253 nucleotides) under uncultured bacterium. RNAcentral's name for it is "partial 16S ribosomal RNA". It matches the Rfam family "Bacterial small subunit ribosomal RNA", at positions 524 to 776 of the family's 1533-position model. The record is from RNAcentral.